GCCGGCCUCACCUACGGUGCCGCAAAAUGCCGGUGCCUUUACUGCACUUUACGACUAGCGGGAGGGGGACGGGCUCGCGGACUCCUGGGCUGCGGAGAUAUGGGGGCGAAAGUUCAACUAGGUGUCUCCCUGGUGAAGCGUCAGAUUGGCAAAUCCAGCAGUGUGUGUCCUUCUGACUUCCCAACAAGGUCCAAGUUCAGUUCUAUAUUAGGCAUAAAACUCCUAGUCUCACUCUGUCACCCAAGCUGGAGUGCAGUGGCAUGAUCUUGGUCCACCGCAAUCUUCGCCUCCCGGAUUCAAACAACUCUUGUGCCUCAGCCUCUGGAGUAGGUAGGAUUACAGGGGACUGGAUCCUGUCCAUAACUGCUGACCAGUUUCUGGAUGGGCUGCUGCACAUCACCCACUUUUGCCUAAGAUCUCACCUAAGAUUGAAUUUUGUGUCCAAAAACUUCAAAAGCUACCAGAGUAUUGUGAAAGAAGAAACACUGUUGUCGAAGGCUGCUGAUAUUGCCUAUUAGCCAGAAGAAAGAACCUGAAUCAUUCAAAGGUUUUCCAUCUGGCAAAGAAGUCCAGAAGUACUGGACCGUCUGCCUAGAUCUGCAUGUGCUAAGUAUCCAAGUAAGUUGGAGCAACAUAUCAACGGCAACCAGUGAAGAAAUGAAAGCUUGUGUAUUUCAGUUUUGUAUUGAAAUGUUCUUUGGGUUCAUAAAAUAUUUAGGGGCUACAUAAAGAAGAAAGACUUUGGAAUCAAAGGCAAGCUUUGGAAUCAAACACAGCUUCUGUUCAAUGAAACUAGGAAAUCAAUAUCUAUCAAAGGCUCCGUGUUAAUCGGUACCAAUUUCUCACCACGUUUUGAUUAGAAGAAAAUCGAGCUGCAAACAUUUAAGGAUUUGUCUGACUGAAUACUGACUUAAAGUUCUGAUCUCUAAUAAUGUCAGGCAUAUUGUCUUGGUAAAUUGUACAGUUCACGUCUCGCCUAUGAGUUCCAGAUGUGUAUAUGCAACUGCCUGCUGGAUUUCUACUUGAGUGUCUUAGAUAAUUUCUCAAACUUGGCUUGUGGAAAACUGAAAACCUCGAUCUUCCUAAAAAGCUGUUUUUCUAUCAUUUAGUUCAUCAGCUAAAAACUUUGGAGUUAGACAUAUGGAAAGCCCGUCCUAAGGGAAGAAUCAGAGGAGAAGGGAUACAAGACCCCAGGAGCACACCCAGCGCCUUAAUAUGCAUGCUUCGUCUCUCUAAAAUGGUGGAACCUGUUUGUUUACCUGUCUGUAGCAGACACAGGAGUUGUCCUCACACUGUGCGUCCUGACUUCCACAGGAAUUUGAGUUGUAGCUGCAAUGCAGCUACCAACCAGGGAUACAGUUUCUCAGCCCCACGCCUUGCACCUACAGCUAAGUGUGGCCUUGUGACUGGUUUUCAUCAAUUAAGUAUGAAUAGAAACAAAGUGCACCACCUUCAUUUGGAGGCUUCGAAGAAGCAAGGGUACCCUUCAUUUGCUCUCUUUCGCCUUGUGCUGGGGGGAUACAGAUGACAAUAAGGCCCUGGGUGAUGAUGCAGCCACAAGAUGCAAAAUGCCUCAGACCUGAAUCACCACGUGGAAGAGAGAAGCCCACUGACCUAGAACAUCCACCCUGGUCUAUAGAUGAACAAGAAAUAAACUUCUAUUAUGUUUGAACAUUGCAGAUUUGGUUCCGUUAUAGCAGUUUAUCUUGCCCUGAGUAAACUGUUACCUGUCUUUCAAGAGAUAGGCAAGUUUAGCCAGAGUGCCCUCCUUCCCCGAAAGUGAUUUUUUUAAUAUAUGUAAUCUAUAUGUUAAUUCAUACUCUCCAAAGCAUAUCCACAUCUAUUCAACUAUGCUUAUGUAUCAAGAGAAACCUCAUACAAAUAAAUAUAAAGGUUUUAAAAAAAGACACUUUGGAGUAAUCCUUGACCCUGUCCUCUUUUCUCACACCCAUAUCUAAACCAUCAAGAAAUCUUGUUGAUUCAGCCUUCAAAAUCUACCCAGGACUUAAACACUAAUCAACCUCUUCUCCUCUGUCAGUCUGUUCUCCUACAUUUCAUUUUAAUCAUCCUUAGAAACUCCUAACCAGUCUUAGUGCUUUCACCAUUGUACUUCCAGACUCUUCUCAAAUAGCAGCCAAUGAGAUCCUACGGCACUUCUGCUCAAAACCUGCAAAUGGCUCCCUACUGCACUUAGGGUAAAACCAGGUGGGGCCUGCACAAUCUGGCCUCACCUCCUAUAGUUUUCCUCCUUGCUCAUUCUGCCAGCCACACUGCUUUUCUUGCUUUUCCAUGAACGUGCUAGACACACUCUCACGUUUGGGCUUUUGCACUUAUUUCCCUUCCCAGAAUACUCUCCUCGUGGAUACGCACAUCCAGCCCCUCAUCUCCUUCAAAUUUUAGUUCAAAUGCCACUUUCUCAAUGAGGGUUUCCUGAUCAGCUUAUUUAAACUUACAGUCUCCCCUUAUCUAAUGCCUUGUCUUUGCUUUACUUUUCUUCAUAGUAAUUACCACAUCUGACUUACACUUGCUUGCCUUUCUUGUUUAUUUUCUGUUUUCCCCACUCAAAUGUAGUCCAGAAGGAAAGGGACUCUUGUGUCAUUUGUUCAUUCCUCUAUCCCCUGGGCCUGAGCAUGGCUUUGGGUAGACACCCAGUAGAUGUUUGUUUAAAUGGAUAAAUAAAUGAAUAAAUGGCAUUUACUACCUUAUAUGGUACUAUAAUAUAAAAGCAUACUAUGCAGGGAAUUAGGAAUCUAGAAACUAGUUUUGACUCAGCCUCCUAUGAACAAGGUUGUGUGGACAAGUCAUUUCACCUCUCUGAGUCUCAUUUUUCUAAUAUUUAAAAUCUAUCCUACAGAAGUGUAAAAUGUUUAAAUAUAGAUUAGCUUAGGGAAUGCAGUCUCACGUGUGCACAAUGAAAGAAUUUCUACAUACCUUCCAUGUAUCCACAAUCAAUGGUUUAUCUAAAAUUUGUCAGGAAAAUUAAGUUCUAUAUGAGCAGAUUUUUAAAAAAAUUGUCACUGAAAGAGAUAUCCAAAUAAGCCAAAACCUUCUCUAGAGACAGGAUGCAAUAGAGAAACUCUAGCAGAAUUAGGUUCCGUGGGAAAGGCACUCUCGAUGCCUUCCUCAUAUCCUUGCACUCAUAAUAGGGUUUGAAUUAAAGAACAAGAAACAAAGCAGACUUGCAUUUUUCGUCUUUAGCCAAGCUCCUCUGGUUUGCAUAGUCACAACAUCAUUCAAAUGACCGUUUUUGGAGUUUUUAUUUAGAGUACCCUUUUUCUCAGCUGAGAGAAAUGAAUAUCUGAUGCUUUGUUUUUCCAAAUUGUUUGAAAACUGAGUAAUGCUAUAAAGCUUUUUAAAUGUUUUAGAGGUAUAGCAAGUGAACUGUUUAUAAGUUUCUGGGAUUUUUGAAAAUAUUAUUAUUUUUUUUGAAGUGGAGUCUUGCUCUGUUGCCCAGGCUGGAGUGCAGUGGUGCAAUCUUGACUCACUGCAACCUCUCCUGCCGAGGUUCAAGAGAUUCUCAUGCACCAGCCUCCCAGGUAGCUGGGACUACAGGCGUGCACCACUAUGCCUGGCUAAUUUUUUUUUUUUUUUUGUAUUUUUAGUAGAGACGUGGUUUCAUCAUGUUGGCCAGUCUGACCUCAAGUAAUCCGCCCACCCUGGCCUCCCAAACUGCUGGGAUUACAGGUAUGAGCCACUGCACCUGGCCUGAACAUAUUUUUUACAUUCAAUUUAAUGAUGAUUUGUUCAGAUUCCUUUUAUAUUAUUUUCUAAUGAAUACCUCAAUAUUUCUCUUAUAUGCUGGUCACUUAUCAGAUGGAUUCCCACUGAAU
Non-coding RNA from Callithrix jacchus (white-tufted-ear marmoset), 3830 nucleotides. The record is from RefSeq and is a predicted model, not a curated record. Lineage: Eukaryota; Metazoa; Chordata; Mammalia; Primates; Cebidae.